Molecule: ribosomal RNA, 253 nt
Filed under: uncultured archaeon
Lineage: Archaea
Description: partial 16S ribosomal RNA
Rfam family: Archaeal small subunit ribosomal RNA
Source: RNAcentral
CACCCGCAUCUCGAGUGGUGGCCACUUUUAUUGGGCCUAAAGCGUUCGUAGCCGGUUUUGUAAAUCCUCAGUCAAAUUCCCCUGCUUAACGGGAGAUACUCUGGAGAGACUGCGAAGCUAGGGACCGGGUGAGGUUGACGGUACUGCUGGGGUAGGGGUAAAAUCCUGUAAUCCUGGAAGGACGACCAGUGGCGAAGGCGGUCAACUAGAACGGAUCCGACGGUGAGGAACGAGAGCUAGGGGAGCAAACCGG